GGACUCAAUAACAAAUAUGAGAAGGAAAGUUUACCGAAGAUAGCUCUUCCGACCAAGCAAAAUACUGUAUAUAUUGCAUUAAAACUAAAAAUGAAGACUACAAAGAAGGAGAAAAAGUCAUGUGGAUUCCGAAGAAGGAGAACCCAAGUACCAAUAAUGGAUUUUCAUCCGCAAAACAAGAUGAAAAAAGGCUUCGUUUUGAGUAAAGCAGAAUUUGGGUCAACGACGUUAGUAGGCCUUUGCCGCGAAGCAGAACUAAGGGUUCGGAAAGAAAGAGGAGAGAGAAAGCGAGCCAUGGAUUCCAGCAUCUCCGUUAGAUCCAUAUCUGGUGACGCCACCGAUCUUCCUCCUCCAUCGUUUUCGUCGCCGAUAAUGGACCCAUCGUAAGUAGAGCUGGACGGCGGCCAAAAAAUAUAGGAAAAAGAUAGAGAGGGUUGAGGGAAAAAAAAAGAAAGAGUUGACGGAGAGAUGGUUGAGGGAAAAUUUGA
This 488-nucleotide long non-coding RNA is filed under the name Nicotiana benthamiana. RNAcentral describes it as "long non-coding RNA (NBEN_LNC010980)". Lineage: Eukaryota; Viridiplantae; Streptophyta; Magnoliopsida; Solanales; Solanaceae. The record is from RNAcentral.